GCCCGGGUGGCGAAAUCUCAGGUAGCCGCGAGGGGCUUAAACCCCCUGGGUCCUUCGGGACCGUGUGGGUUCGAAUCCCACCCCGGGCA
RNAcentral lists this transfer RNA (89 nucleotides) under Actinomycetes bacterium. Its description in RNAcentral is "Actinobacteria bacterium tRNA-Leu". It matches the Rfam family "tRNA". Rfam says of the family: Transfer RNA (tRNA) molecules are approximately 80 nucleotides in length. Their secondary structure includes four short double-helical elements and three loops (D, anti-codon, and T loops). The record is from RNAcentral. Lineage: Bacteria; Bacillati; Actinomycetota; Actinomycetes. RNAcentral also lists the same sequence under 1 other name.